UACGUAGGGUGCAAGCGUUGUCCGGAAUUAUUGGGCGUAAAGAGCUCGUAGGCGGUUUGUUGCGUCGGCUGUGAAAUCCCGAGGCUCAACCUCGGGUCUGCAGUCGAUACGAGCAAACUAGAGUGUUGCAGGGGAGACUGGAAUUCCUGGUGUAGCGGUGAAAUGCGCAGAUAUCAGGAGGAACACCGAUGGCGAGGGCAGGUCUCUGGGCCACUACUGACGCUGAGAAGCGAAAGCAUGGGGAGCGAACAGG
RNAcentral lists this ribosomal RNA (253 nucleotides) under uncultured bacterium. RNAcentral's name for it is "partial 16S ribosomal RNA". It matches the Rfam family "Bacterial small subunit ribosomal RNA", at positions 524 to 776 of the family's 1533-position model. The record is from RNAcentral.